GCCUACGGGACGCAGCAGUGAGGAAUAUUGGUCAAUGGACGCAAGUCUGAACCAGCCAAGUAGCGUGCAGGAUGACGGCCCUCCGGGUUGUAAACUGCUUUUAGUUGGGAAUAAAAGGGGGCUCGUGAGCCCCGUAUUGUAUGUACCAUCAGAAAAAGGACCGGCUAACUCCGUGCCAGCAGCCGCGGUAAUACGGAGGAUGCGAGCGUUAUCCGGAUUUAUUGGGUUUAAAGGGUGCGCAGGCGGAGGUGCAAGUCAGCGGUCAAAUUGCGGGGCUCAACCCCGUACUGCCGUUGAAACUGCAU
This 305-nucleotide ribosomal RNA is filed under the name uncultured bacterium. RNAcentral's name for it is "bacterial SSU rRNA". It matches the Rfam family "Bacterial small subunit ribosomal RNA", at positions 337 to 638 of the family's 1533-position model. The record is from RNAcentral.